Molecule: unclassified non-coding RNA, 322 nt
Filed under: Hevea brasiliensis (rubber tree)
Lineage: Eukaryota; Viridiplantae; Streptophyta; Magnoliopsida; Malpighiales; Euphorbiaceae
Source: RNAcentral
GAUCGUAAGCAGAAGGCACCAGCAAAAUCAUCAUUAUAGAUGAUUUCACCUCUGCAAUCCUUAAGUCGUUGUCGUGAAGGUAAAUAGUCCCCUUCAGAUAUGCCUAUAGUAACAGUGGGUGCUUUAAGAAGUUUCCACAGUCCUUCAAUUGUUUGCUGUUCACCUUUUAGUUUUACACUGGCAUGCCAAUCAUAAUUUAUUAGAUGUAAUCGAGUAUAAGGAAGUUUUCCAGUUGAUCUGAUAUAGUUUAGAGAUUCCUCAAAAUGCUGAACUAGGAGAGAUUCUGACUUUCCUUCUCCAUUCCUAAGAAGGUUGAUGCACA